GGGUAUAGCUCAGUGGUAGAGUGCAUGCCUAGCAUGCACGAGGUCUUGGGUUCAAAUCCCAGUACCACCA
RNAcentral lists this transfer RNA (70 nucleotides) under Camelus bactrianus (Bactrian camel). It matches the Rfam family "tRNA". Rfam says of the family: Transfer RNA (tRNA) molecules are approximately 80 nucleotides in length. Their secondary structure includes four short double-helical elements and three loops (D, anti-codon, and T loops). The record is from Rfam by way of RNAcentral. RNAcentral also lists the same sequence under 1 other name. Lineage: Eukaryota; Metazoa; Chordata; Mammalia; Artiodactyla; Camelidae.